This 481-nucleotide long non-coding RNA is filed under the name Monodelphis domestica (gray short-tailed opossum). RNAcentral describes it as "lncRNA (ENSMODG00000046595.1)". Lineage: Eukaryota; Metazoa; Chordata; Mammalia; Didelphimorphia; Didelphidae. The record is from RNAcentral.
AGAUUCAUGGCACAUAACAUCAGCUGUAUCCGUGCUAUUUGGUGAUAGUUCUGCUUCCCUCCUCUCUCUCUCUCUCUCUCUCUCUCUCUCUCUCUCUCUCUCUCUCUCUCUCUCUCUCUCUCUCUCUCUCUCUCUCUCUCUCUCUCUCUCUGUCUCUCUCCCUCUCUCUCUCUCCCUCUCUCUCUCUUUCUCUCUCUCUGUCUCUCUCUGUCUCUCUCUCUGUCUCUCUGUCUCUGUCUCUGUCUCUGUCUCUCUGUCUCUGUCUCUCUGUCUCUGUCUCUCUCUGUCUCUCUCUCUGUCUCUCUCUGUCUCUGUCUCUGUCUCUCUUCUCUCUCUCUGUCUCUCUCUCUCUGUCUCUUCUUUCUCUCUGUCUCUCUCUCUCUCUCACACACACACACACACACACUCAAUUACCUACAUUAGGUCCCUAUUAACUCUAGGAUUGAAUAUAAAACUCCUCUAUUUUGUACUUAAAUUCUUU